Molecule: transfer RNA, 73 nt
Filed under: Aspergillus clavatus
Lineage: Eukaryota; Fungi; Ascomycota; Eurotiomycetes; Eurotiales; Aspergillaceae
Description: tRNA-Gln
Source: RNAcentral
UAUGUUGUCGACUAAUAGGUAAGUCAUAAAUUUUUGGUAUUUACUAUUGGGUGUUCGAGUCGCCCCAACAUAA